This 206-nucleotide long non-coding RNA is filed under the name Ananas comosus (pineapple). Its description in RNAcentral is "long non-coding RNA (ACOM_LNC037851)". Lineage: Eukaryota; Viridiplantae; Streptophyta; Magnoliopsida; Poales; Bromeliaceae. The record is from RNAcentral.
UUGCUCUUGUCCUUAGACUCGGCCAAAGCCUCACGCUUCUCCCGAACGUGGGCAUCUCCGUGCUCCGCCCAUAGGGCUCGAUCGAAGACCUCCGCAAAGGUCGUGAGCUUAAGUAUUUGCACGGCCUUGUAGAUCCCCGGCCGAAGUCCUCGCAAGAACCACUCGGCCCGGUCCCGGUCAUCCUUUACAACAUCCGAGACACAGUC